AGUGAACGCUGGCGGUAGGCCUAACACAUGCAAGUCGAACGGCAGCACAGAGGAGCUUGCUCCUUGGGUGGCGAGUGGCGGACGGGUGAGGAAUACAUCGGAAUCUACUCUGUCGUGGGGGAUAACGUAGGGAAACUUACGCUAAUACCGCAUACGACCUACGGGUGAAAGCAGGGGACCUUCGGGCCUUGCGCGAUUGAAUGAGCCGAUGUCGGAUUAGCUAGUUGGCGGGGUAAAGGCCCACCAAGGCGACGAUCCGUAGCUGGUCUGAGAGGAUGAUCAGACAUACUGGAACUGAGACACGGGCCCGACUCCUACGGGAGGCAGCAGUGGGGCAUAUUGGACAAUGGGCGCAAGCCUGAUCCAGCCAUACCGCGUGGGUGAAGAAGGCCUUCGGGUUGUAAAGCCCUUUUGUUGGGAAAGAAAUCCAGCUGGCUAAUACCCGGUUGGGAUGACGGUACCCAAAGAAUAAGCACCGGCUAACUUCGUGCCAGCCGCCGCAGUAA
RNAcentral lists this ribosomal RNA (506 nucleotides) under uncultured bacterium. RNAcentral's name for it is "partial 16S ribosomal RNA". It matches the Rfam family "Bacterial small subunit ribosomal RNA", at positions 29 to 523 of the family's 1533-position model. The record is from RNAcentral.